Molecule: transfer RNA, 71 nt
Filed under: Enterococcus cecorum
Lineage: Bacteria; Bacillati; Bacillota; Bacilli; Lactobacillales; Enterococcaceae
Description: tRNA-Met
Rfam family: tRNA
About the family: Transfer RNA (tRNA) molecules are approximately 80 nucleotides in length. Their secondary structure includes four short double-helical elements and three loops (D, anti-codon, and T loops).
Source: RNAcentral
GGGAUGGAGCAGUCUGGUAGCUCGUCGGGCUCAUAACCCGAAGGUCGUAGGUUCAAAUCCUGCUCCCGCAA